Phacochoerus africanus (Common warthog) is the source of this 1541-nucleotide long non-coding RNA. RefSeq lists it as uncharacterized. NCBI's taxonomy places the organism in Eukaryota, Metazoa, Chordata, Mammalia, Artiodactyla, Suidae. The transcript is spliced from 3 exons. The record is from RefSeq and is a predicted model, not a curated record.
UGGAUAUUAGCAGGACUUGUUUCCACUGCACCACAACAGAAAUUCCAAUACUACUAUUUUUGCUUUAGGUAGUUAUCUUUCAGAGCAAUUAAAAAUAAUAAAAAAAUGAAAUUUUAACUUUGUGUACCUUAAGUUGUUCCAUUUCUAAUGCUCUUAAUUUCUUUGUGUAGAUUCAGAUGUCUGUCUGCUACUAUAAUAUUCCUUCUGUCUGAACAACUUUCUUUAACAUUACUUGUAGUGUGGGUCUACUGACAAUGAAUUCAUUCAGAUUUGUUUUUUGUUUGGGGUUCAGGAAAGCCUUUAUUUCUGCUUUUUUUUUUUUUUUAAAGCUUCUCCUGCAGCAUGCAGAAGUUCCCAGGCCAGGGAUCAAAUCCACACCAUAGAAGCAACCAGAGCGACUCUCCUUUCUUCUUGAAAGACAUUUUUGCUGGGUAUAGGAUUCUGACUUGAUAGGUUUUUGUUGUUGUUCAGCUAUAGAGACCUCAUUCCUCAUCUUCUAUGUUGUGUAGUUUCUGGAGAAGUCUGCUGUAACACUUUCAUUUUUAUUUCUCUGUGUGUUACUUGUCCUUUUUUCUGGCUGCCUCAUAACUUCCACUGUCUCUGGUUUUCAGCAGCUUGAAUAUGAUAUGCCUGUGGUAUGGGAUUGAUUUUGGGAGGGGAACAUUUAUUCUGCUUGGUGUUUUUUGAAUGUCUUGGAAUUGUUUAGUGUCUGUCAUUCAUUUUAGAAAAUUCUUGUGUAUUUUCCCUUGCGUUUUUUUCUUCCCAGAUGCCAGUUGCACAUAGGUUGGAUCUUCUGGUAUUGUCCCCUAUCUCCUGGGUGCUCUGUUGUGUUUUUUACCCACUGUCUCUUCUUCCUCACUGUUCUGCAGUUCAUACCAGCACUGUUGUAAAUCCAGUGUCCACAUAUGUGAGGGUCAGACUGAAGAAACUUUGUCACUGUUGUGUCCUCUCUUAUUCUCCAAAUCCUGUGGGUUUAUCCCUUUAAAAGAUUGUUCUCUGCCAUUACAGCCUCUUGGAAGGGAGUCAGAGUAGAUGCACAUAGGCCGUCUGCCAUCUUUAUGUGGAGAUGAAGAUAAACAGAGCACAGAAGAUUAAGUAAUUUUUCCAAAGAUGCAGAAAUAGAAAAUGACAGAACUUGGCUUCUUAGCCACUAUAUUCUAGCUGCCUCCAACACAUGGGAAGAUAGUAGCUUUCAGGGAACAAAAUUAUUCAUCUUGAUACAGCAAGUCUUCAAUGAUGUCAAUAGGAAAACAGCCACAGCCAUGCUAAAGGCUUCAAGCACCACCGGUUUUGUCCAGAGGAGGCCAUGGUUAUUCUGGUGAAGUACAAGGCCGAGGUCAUUUUGAGCCGUCACUCUCUUGAGGGUCCGAGUCUAUGAAGCAGAAUAAGCUCAGGACCUACAGCACUGGACCUCUAGGAGGGCAACCUCACCAGCAGAUGAGGUCCUGAUGGAUGAUUCCUAAUUAUGGAGUCCUUUUCAUCUCUCAGUUUAUAUUCUGAGUUUUUACCUAGAAUAAAUUCUACUGUUUCUCAUUAACGCA